RNAcentral lists this ribosomal RNA (422 nucleotides) under Fusobacteriota bacterium. RNAcentral describes it as "Fusobacteria bacterium partial 16S ribosomal RNA". It matches the Rfam family "Bacterial small subunit ribosomal RNA", at positions 355 to 776 of the family's 1533-position model. Lineage: Bacteria; Fusobacteriati; Fusobacteriota. The record is from RNAcentral.
UGGGGGAUUUUGCACAAUGGGCGCAAGCCUGAUGCAGCGACGCCGCGUGAGGGAUGAAGGCCUUCGGGUUGUAAACCUCUUUCGCUGGGUUGAAAGGCCAUGCUUUGGGUGUGGUUGAUUUGAACUGGUAAAGAAGUACUGGCUAACUACGUGCCAGCAGCCGCGGUAAUACGUAGGGUACUAGCGUUGUCCGGAUUUAUUGGGCGUAAAGGGCUGGUAGGUGGUUUGUCGCGUCGGUCGUGAAAUCCUGUGGCUUAACCAUGGACUUGCGGUGGGUUCGGGCAGGCUUGAGUGCGGUAGGGGGGACUGGAAUUCCUGGUGUAGAGGUGAAAUGCGCAGAUAUCAGGAGGAAAACCGGUGGCGAAGGCGAGUCUCUGGGCAGAUACUGACACUGAGGAGCGAAAGCGUGGGGAGCGAACAGG